This is a long non-coding RNA of Lontra canadensis (Northern American river otter), 392 nucleotides long. RefSeq lists it as uncharacterized. The transcript has 2 exons. Lineage: Eukaryota; Metazoa; Chordata; Mammalia; Carnivora; Mustelidae. The record is from RefSeq and is a predicted model, not a curated record.
AGAAAUGGCAUUAUUCACCCAUUUUUCAGAACACAUGGAGCUCAAAAGGACAAAGACAGUUCUACCUAUCACCAUGGAGUGCAGUGGUUAAAAUAAAACUCAUCUUCCAGCCAAGAUGGAAGGAGCUGGGGUCCCUGGCUGAGAGUGGUUCCUGGAAGACAGCUGGCCUAGAGGGACCGUGCAUCCCAGAUUCCUCGGCAGCUGACCAAUGUCAUGUGACUAGUUAUGACCAAUGGAAUAUGAGCAGAAAUGACAAAUGUCCUUCAGAGUCAGGGCCACUUCUGGGGUCCUUGGAUGACAGAGAUAAAUAAACUUCUAACUGCCUUUUGGGGUUUGUUUGUUACAUCAGCUAGUGCUACCCUAAAUCAUAAACCCAAUAAAUUGCAUGAGCC